RNAcentral lists this ribosomal RNA (274 nucleotides) under uncultured bacterium. RNAcentral's name for it is "partial 16S ribosomal RNA". It matches the Rfam family "Bacterial small subunit ribosomal RNA", at positions 523 to 796 of the family's 1533-position model. The record is from RNAcentral.
AUACGGGGGUUGCAAGCGUUAUUCGGAUUUAUUGGGCGUAAAGGGCGCGUAGGCGGCUUGGAAAGUCAGAUGUGAAAGCCCGGGGCUCAACCCCGGAAGUGCAUUUGAAACUAUCAGGCUUGAGUAUGGGAGAGGGAAGUGGAAUUCCUGGUGUAGAGGUGAAAUUCGUAGAUAUCAGGAGGAACACCGGUGGCGAAGGCGACUUCCUGGACCAAUACUGACGCUGAGGCGCGAAGGCGUGGGGAGCAAACAGGAUUAGAAACCCGAGUAGUCC